Molecule: transfer RNA, 81 nt
Filed under: Pseudocohnilembus persalinus
Lineage: Eukaryota; Ciliophora; Oligohymenophorea; Philasterida; Pseudocohnilembidae
Rfam family: tRNA
About the family: Transfer RNA (tRNA) molecules are approximately 80 nucleotides in length. Their secondary structure includes four short double-helical elements and three loops (D, anti-codon, and T loops).
Source: Rfam by way of RNAcentral
GAUGUCUUGGGUGAGUGGUUAUACCGUUUGACUCGAAAUCAAAUUCCGCAAGGAGCGCAAGUUCGAAUCUUGCAGGCAUCG